GCCCAUCUGUCUAACGUCUCGCCUACCACGUCUCUGCAGCCUGCGCCGCCCCUCUUCCCUCCGCCUGCCUACCCGGCGAGAGGCCGCCGCCGCUGCCUGAGCGAACACGGGGCUGUGAGCCUCCUACAUUACUGACCGCUCAUCCCUGCUGCUUUGCCGCUGCCGCCGCUUCUCCAGUGCCCCAAACCCCUGCCCGUGCGACCUUCCGCCGCCGCCCAGCCACUAAUUUGUGCUUGACACCUCCUCCACCAUCCCAUACAGCCUGGAGAAUCCAAGUCCACUCAAACUGUGAGUUUCUCCCGAUUUCACUUUAGUCUGAAGAAGUGACUUUUCAGAUUUUGUUUUAGUUCUUCUCAAUCAUCUGAAUCAGCGUAUGUCUUGCUUACCAUUUGCCUGUCCUGAAUACUGAAUUGCUCAUCCUGAUUAGCAACGAGGGAGACCUCGACAGGCUCUUAAAUCUAUUCUACAUGUAGAAUCCAUCUAUUGAGAGACAAGCAUUCUUGUAUUUUCAUAGUGCUUCGUCAGUUCGUCAUUGCUGUUGGGACAAAACAUUUGGUCUUCUGAAUGCAGUGCAGUACUUGAAUUGAUAGCUAUCAAGCUAGUCAAAUUUGUGUAAUCCGUAUAAAGAUUUUGUCAUCUGCUUUAACACGGAUUCAGCACUAGGAGAACAAAGUAAUAAAGAGAGGUAAGAUUUGUAUCCUCUGGGUGUCAUUGUUUGGCAUAUAUAUAUAUCUACUCUAUUUGUCAUGUAAUUAACGUGACAGUACUUCUGGUUCAUAUAUUAAGAACCAAUCAGUGAGAUAUUUAUUUAUCUAUUUUGCUGUUCCAUAUUAUCCAGGGUUUAAAAGAACAGGGAAAAUCAGUCACAUCGCAUAUGUAUGGUAAAUAUAAAUACAGUACUAAUUAAUUAAACUUGAUAGCCCAUGCAAAUACAACAAUUGAUCAACCUUACAAAGACAUAGACGCAAAGAAUUACACGCGAACAAGGAAUUCUGCCGAGAGGCAGUUAAGUGCACCACAUCCAACACCAAGUCACUGAAGAUAGCAUUUGGAUACAUAUAUAUGUACUAUAUGCUUACGGUGAGCCUUAUGAUAUUUGGCGUGGCUGCAUCAGAGUGAAGAGCGUCUUGAAGAUACCCACAAGAACACCAAUAAUGGUGAGCACCGUAACAAUGGCCUUAGAGUUUCUGGAAACAAACUUGUGCACACUGAUCCGAACACACCUCUUGCGCUUGCAUUCAUCCAUGUCUGCCAGGAUUUUGAUGUAGCAGCGGCCAGGGGAUAUGUGUUCGACAAUUUUGUCGAAGAAUUCAAGCGUUUGCUUGUCGGUGAGUUCUGUACGCACCAAACGGUCUUUCCUUAGCUUGUGUACGUCCUCCUCCCGAUCCGUGAGCAUCGCAAGGAGAGCGAGGUACGAGCUAACAGCAGUCUUCUCAGAACCCUCCGAGAAACUUGCAGCUGUCCAUACCUCAAAAGCCGCCAUGUUGACAAGCCAGCAUGCCGUUGUCCUGUCAAGGGAUAGUGGCGCCAGGGAGAACUUGUCGUAGAAGAAUCCUUUCGUCAAUUCUACGCCGUUGAACUCUGCAGACUUGCUGGCUGUCAGCUUGAUGCCAUUUAUUUCAAGCUGACUGGCACCAAUAGGUACCGACAUUUUCAUUGGUUCAACUUGUGAGUCUCCAUCUGCUUCUUUGGAUGCCGCUAUCUUAUGAGAUCGAAGGAGGCCAAGGAGAUGUGGUGGACUGUAUCGAUGAUGAUCUGCGACAGAAGCAGAUCUGGUAUUGGACAGCAUGUGGUUGUGCUUGGAGAGGAUAUCAAAUUUUGCCCCCAUCUUUACAAUGAACUCAUCGACAUCCACCUCAUGCACAUGCCACAACUUCAUGAGGGCUUUGAGCACCGUCCAGGGCAGCUGGUUUUCUAGCAGCAUGAUGUCAUUCUCGAUGGAAGCUCGGUUGGAGACGAAAAGGUUUCGCAACGACUCAUCCACCUUAUGAAGAUGUUUGCUGGGAGUGGGGCUAGUGUGAGAACUAGGAGUGGGACUGGUGUGAGAACUAGGUAUGGAAAGCAUAUACUGCAGCAAGAAGCAAGCAUCGCAGAACAUCAUACGAACAAAGGCGGCGUCGCUGAUGCUCUGCAUUACGGGUUCGGCGUAGUAGCGGCGUGCUUGGACCGUGUCGUUGUAGAACGUUUCCCAGAUGACCUCGAAUGUGCUUCCUGUGUGCUCGAUGAAGUGGUGGGCAGCAGCGUCUUUCACCUUCUCCAUCUCCAUCAGCCGGCGGCAGCCGUGGUGGUAAGGCCCGAUGGCCACGGCCAUAGGGACGAUGUACCGAUCCCCAAGGCCUCGUAGGCCCUCAGGGAACCGAUGGAUCUUCGUUUCCACUGCGUGGAACUUGAAGUUCAACCCAAAAACUUCGGCUGCUUUGUCAAAAGAAUCCCGGAACCUGACCUCCUCCCCCGGAUCAGUAGGCGGCUGGACCUGGGAGCUACGAGUACGGGAGAGAUCUGACAUCUCUGUGGUGGAUGUCUGAGUCUGUGUGUCAAAGAUCGAGAUCGAUCGCACAAACUGGACCUGGGAGCUACUAGUACGGGAGAGAUCUGACAUCUCUGUGGUGGAUGUCUGAGUCUGUGUGUCAAAGAUCGAGAUCGAUCGCACAAAAGUGAGUAGCAGGGAUUUGGCAAUCCUGGAUUUGGAAUUGGACAAGCAAGGGCUUAGGUAAGGAAUAACAGUUCGAGAGUCAGUUCAUGUUAUUGAUGCAGUGGACACUAUAAAUAACCUCUGCAGUAUAUUCUCUUCAGUUUUUUCCAGCCUGUUUGAUCUAAAUUCUCAAUCCAGAUUUGUUCCUUUUCUUUUGCAUGAUCCCUAUGUAGGGUAUUUCCUGAUGUCCUGGCUCAAGCUAGGAAUCAACCUUGAUCAAGAUGAUGCAGGGACGCCUUAAUUACCUCAAAGCAAAUGUGUUAUACCCUACAUGUCACAUGUGCCCUUCUCCGGGUUGAGGUACGAUAUUAGCAUGCAUUUUAUCAAAGAACGAAGUAGCUGAAUCCCUAUAGAGUCAAAAUUCGGCUACGCCGCCAACCAUGCAUGCAUGAAUUAUUUAACAUUGACCUCCAAAUAUUAUAUGUGUAUCGAAGCAAAGGGCUUUUUCUAGAAGGAUAUAUCUAGAUUGUUUUUGUAACACACUUGUCUGAACUCUUUUACGAUGGAGUAAUAGCUAUGCAUAUGCACGAAAAC
RNAcentral lists this long non-coding RNA (3226 nucleotides) under Brachypodium distachyon (stiff brome). RNAcentral's name for it is "long non-coding RNA (BDIS_LNC004189)". Lineage: Eukaryota; Viridiplantae; Streptophyta; Magnoliopsida; Poales; Poaceae. The record is from RNAcentral.